RNAcentral lists this transfer RNA (92 nucleotides) under Stenotrophomonas maltophilia. RNAcentral's name for it is "tRNA-Sec". The record is from RNAcentral. Lineage: Bacteria; Pseudomonadati; Pseudomonadota; Gammaproteobacteria; Lysobacterales; Lysobacteraceae.
CGGUGCGUGAGCGGGAUGCAGCAACGGGGCGGUUUCAGUCCGCGCGAGAUACGUGGGCCUGGAUCUGUUGUUCAAGGCCGCGUGCAUCGACC